Molecule: long non-coding RNA, 5205 nt
Filed under: Prunus persica (peach)
Lineage: Eukaryota; Viridiplantae; Streptophyta; Magnoliopsida; Rosales; Rosaceae
Description: long non-coding RNA (PPER_LNC001453)
Source: RNAcentral
UGGACCAGACUGAAGUUUUGCAUUUGCUCGAGUCGCCGGAGGCUUUGAAGGCCAAAGUGGCAGAGGCCAUGGAGGUCCUGAGAAAUGUUGCCCAACAGCAGGCUAACAGCAGCGCUGAUCAACUAUCUUCAUUGUCUCUGAAUGACAACCUUGUCUCGUAAAUGAGAAGUGUGGCAUCUGGUGUUUCCUUGCUAUGUGGGGAGUCUUUGGCAUAAGUUUUCGUUUGAUGUUGGAGUGAUUGUAGCUUUUUCAAAAUUAGAACCUAGACUUAAUUUCCUCCUGCAAUUUUUUGUUUUUGUUUUUGGUUUUUGGUUGUGUAGGAUUUUUACUGUUGCUACAUUUGGCGUGCAUCAUGGAUUCAUGGUUUUGGUUAAUUUAAUGACUUUAGACAUUUUCUUAAAUUUUUUUUGUAGUCUUUUCUUAUUUUAAUCGUUUUGUUUUGAAAUUUUAAUUUUUCCCCUAGAUUCUUUUUAGCCUUUCACUAUUUAUCCGAUUCAUUAUGGUAAUAUUCCGAAUUCUAUUACGAUUCGGAUGGGUAAAAUAAUGGAAAUGAAUUGGCGAGUCGAAGGGAACUUGGAGGUGUGUGUUUGGCCGGAAACAAAAGCGCCCUUUGAAAGCGACAAGGAAUUCUGAUUCUUUGCUAGUCUUUUAACUGCAUUAAUGACCAAUUUGUAUAAAAAGUGUUGCAAAUUCUUGGAUGUUGCCAUUGUCCACAAAUGUCUAUCCGAUAUGACAUGUGGCGUAUUACGGGACGGCUCUCAGAGGCUAGCAAUUGAGACUUAAAAUAAUGAGCCUGCCUCUGUCGAGAGGCUAGCUAGGUCUUUUGGGUGAUUCAGACGGCAACCAAAAAAGAAGAAAAAGGAGGAGGAGAGAACCCAACAACAAUCUCCCUCAGCUCAAGGUUUUCUUCUUGUUCUUUUAAUAAGCUGCUGGGUUGUUAAUUAGAUAAUAGUUAUAUGGGUAAUAUUGGGGUGGGAAUGGCUGUAUAUAUUCCUUAAUAAGCUGUUGUGUGGUUAAUUUGUGAAGGAUAGAUGAUAAUACAUAUAUUAGUUGGUAGCAGUGGCGAAUCCAGGAUUCUCGGGCCAAUGCUCUUUUAAAAACUUUACAUUAUAGUUUCAUAAAUCAUUUAUUUUUUAAUAAUUUUAGGCACUUUUGUUUAUGCCUUAUCUAAAAGAGAAUAUCAUUUUUUAUAAAGAAUAAAAUUACAAUGUAUAGAGACUACAAUUAUCUUUUAAAUUUUUUUUAAAUGAAACUAACCCAACCCCCUACUUUGAAAAAGAAAAUUAAAAACAAAAAACAAAAAACAAUAUCUCUCAUUUUCUUUUAAAAAUAAAAUAAAAAAUACUACAUAUAAUAUAACAUGUUUGCUGUUGUUAGCGUCCCCCACUUUAAUACUUCUAAUAUUAUAUUUUUAUGUUGUUUUCAAAGCAAAAUAGGCAUUCAGAAAAAACAAAAAAACAAAAAAACAAAAAAACAAAAAACAAAGAAGAGACUAGCUCACGACACAGCACGAAUCAAAUAUACUCUUUUUUCCCCCUCUCCAGUCAAACUCUCUGUCGGUGGCUCUUCUUCCAGGGACUAUUUUGCGCCUCUGGGUUGCAACACAAAUUUCUUUUGAUCUGCUCUACCUUGUCUUUCCUUUUCUCUGUCCAAAAUUAAAACUCACCCACCCAUUACCAUUGCAGUAAUCCAUCAACCAACCUCUCUCUCUGUCUUUGGGGACUUUCAUCGAGCACGUUCAUUGCAUUCAAGGGUCAACAAGCUGCUGGCUAAGGGGUCUGCAACUGCUCUCCUGCGACCUCCACAGCCAAACGGCGGCAUCCCAGGGGGUCAAUUGACCCCUCUUGUCCCUUGGUGCAUCCGUUUGUGGGGUCAAGCGACCCCUCUUGUCCCUUAAUCCGUCCGCCCCUGGUUGGUAGUUGGUACUUUGUUUCCUUGGAUAUGUUCAAAGUUGGUGACUGUCUUCUCAUCUUUGCAUAUACUACGGGCAAAUUAACACUUGCACUAAACAAUUAUAUAUCCAGGAACUGCAGCCCACGUCUGCAACUGCAUAUAAAACCAGAAUAGCUAAGCAGAGGUGGAAAUAUCGAGAAAUUGAAACAGCUCACUGCGCGUGAGUUUUUUUUUCUGUAAAAUGAAUUCCCCAAGUGUCAAAUACAUUUCAGAAUGCUUUGUCCAGCCACACCAUGCCUCAGAAGAAUCAAAGCAGCCCUUCUACUUGACCCCCGGUGAUCUGGCCAUGCUCUCCGUGCACUACAUUCAAAAGGGCCUUCUCUUUUCCAAACCACCAGAAGCAAAACUGGGACAGGAGGAUUUCACCAAUUCUCUGUUGGAAAGGCUCAAACACUCUCUUUCCAUUGCACUUGUUCAUUUCUACCCAUUGGCAGGUCGCUUUGUGACCGAGAAGAACGAAGACCCGCCUUUGUAUUUGGUAUAUGUAGAUUGCAACAACAGCCCUGGAGCCAAAUUCAUAAAUGCAACUCUGGACAUGUCAAUUUCUGACAUUCUUUCACCAACUGAUGCGCCUUUGGUGGUUCAAUCGUUUUUUGAUCAUGACAGGGCGGUCAACCAUGAUGGGCACACUAUGUCCUUGCUAACCAUUCAGGUCACAGAGCUGGUAGAUGGCAUUUUUAUAGGGCUUUCCAUGAAUCACUGUCUUGGUGAUGGAACCUCUUACUGGCAUUUCUUCAACAUUUGGUCUGAGAUCUUUCAAGCACAAGCACAAGGAGAUCAUAAUAAUUUUGUACCCAAAAUCUCAAGACCACCAGUCCUCAAGCGCUGGUUUCCAGAUGGUCAUGGCCCAAUUAUCAAUCUCCCUUUCAAACACUCGGAUGAGUUCAUUGGCAGAUAUGAAGCUCCCAAACUCAGGGAGAGAAUGUUUCACUUCUCCUCGGAAUCCAUAGCCAAACUCAAAGCAAAGGCCAAUGCAGAAUCCAAUACCACCAAAAUCUCUUCCUUCCAGUCCUUGUCUGCCCUGAUGUGGAGGUCUAUUACUCGUGCGCGUGGUUUACCCCGAGAUCAAGGAACCAACUGCAGGCAUGUUUCCUUCAAUACAUUCCACUCAGAAUUCCCAAGUAGUUUUCUGUUUCUUGAUAUUUUCAUAAACAUCGAUAUUUAAUACCUUGGUUGCAGGUUGGCUGCGAAUAACAGAGGAAGAUUAGAGCCACCAUUGUCUGGAGAUUAUUUUGGGAACUCAAUUCACCCGAUUAGAUCAGAAAUUGUCCCAGCUGGUGAGUUGCUUGAACAUGGGCUUGGAUGGGCAGCGUGGAAGUUGCACGAAGCGGUAGUUAACCACAAUGACAAGUUGAUAAGGGAACAUGUUGAUGGCUGGCUGAAGUCUCCAGCUGUUUACCAACUGAGUUUCUUCGAUCCAUUCAGUGUGAUGAUGGGGAGUUCACCGAGGUUCAACAUGUAUGGAAAUCAGUUUGGAAUGGGAAAAGCACUAGCGCCUAGAAGUGGUUAUGCAAAUAAGUUUAGUGGGAAAGUGUCAUCGUACGAAGGCCGCGAAGAAGGAAGCAUAGACUUGGAGGUGUGUCUUCCACCUGAUGCAAUGAGUGCUCUUGAAUGUGACAGUGAGUUCAUGGAAGCUGCCUCUUUACCCCUUUAUUAGUGACAAGUGAUCAUAUGAAUAAGAAUCAUGCAAUCUGCACAAUGUUUAAGUAGAGUUGAGAAUAAUAUGAAUAUGCAUAUGCUUAAUUUGGUAGUGGAAUGAUAGAAAGGUGUGUGGAAGGAAGAAUGAGAAAAAAUGGAACAGAAAAAGAAUAUUUCAUUAAAAAGCACUUAGUUCAAAAGAUAUGAAUAAGGUGUAUAUGGAAUUUACACAUUCAACCAAAUCCUUAGCCGUUCAGCCAAAAAUCAUUUGUUAGUAACUUUGUGCUAUUUUAAACAUAAAAAAUAUUGUUAUGACUAACAAGAUAUGACGGAUGAUUGUCACAUUUUUUAUAAUUAUCCACAUAAUAAUAAUAUGGAGGCAAAAGCCAAGGGCGGCCCUAGGUGGUGCAAGUGGCGCCACCGCACAGGACAUCAAAAAAAUAUUCUUUAUAUUAUAUUAUAUUAUAUAUAUAUAUAAAUAUAUUAAUAUUAUAGGAAUUGUAUAUAUAGUAUAGCAUUGUUGUUGCAUUUGUGUUUAAUACAAUAUAAUUUAAUUUGUUAAUGACAUUUGUGUGCAACUACUUUUUAAUUUUUGAUUGCCAAUUUUUUUUCCUAUUAAACACAGAUUGCUUAUUAGAGGCAGCAAGGGACCUUAUAGGGGCACAAAUAGCUUAUUUUUGUACCAAGCAUUUAAUUUUAUCUAAUAGAAACAUUUAAAUUUUUAUGAAUUUGAUUUCUGAUUGUCAUUACAUACUUAUUGAUGGUGACUUUUUAGUUAUAAAAAAAAUUGUUUAUGACAUUAAGUUAUGGAAAAUUUUUAUUUAUAGUAUUUUCGUAUUAGAUUAUGUGAUGCUCCAAUUUAAGUUUCGCACAGGGCUCUCAAAAUCUCAAAGACGACCCUAGCAAAAGCCAAAGUAGCAAGCAUGUGGUUGCUUGGCAUGAGCACAAGAUUAAAACGUUAUGUUUUUAAAUGACAAGAAAAAAAAUGUAAAGAAAUGUUAACAUACCUUGGGUGGACAGAUGCUUGGUGAGGCUUUAUAUCCCCUAGUUGACCAGUUGGAGCACGAGUCAGCAGCUAAGGUGACAGGCAUGCUUUUGGAGAUGGACCAGACUGAAGUUUUGCAUUUGCUCGAGUCGCCGGAGGCUUUGAAGGCCAAAGUGGCAGAGGCCAUGGAGGUCCUGAGAAAUGUUGCCCAACAGCAGGCUAACAGCAGCGCUGAUCAACUAUCUUCAUUGUCUCUGAAUGACAACCUUGUCUCAUAAAUGAGAAGUGUGGCAUCUGGUGUUUCCUCGCUAUGUGGGGAGUCUUUGGCAGAAGUUUUCGUUUGAUGUUGGAGUGAUUGUAGCUUUUUCAAAAUUAGAGACUAGACUUAAUUUCCUCCUGCUCCUGCAUUUUUUGUUUUGUUUUUGGUUUUUGGUUGUGUAGGAUUUUUACCGUUUGUUACAUUUGGCUUGCAUCAUGGAUUCAUGGUUUUGGUUAAGAGUUUUUAUCAAAAAUAGUUAAAAUUUACCUGAUACUUUCAUAAAUGUCCAUUUUGAUAAAAUUUUUCAAAAAUAGUUAAAAACUCACGUAAAUAGACUAAAAUGCCCUCAAAACUUAAACCCACAUAAACC